Molecule: transfer RNA, 96 nt
Filed under: Parvibacter caecicola
Lineage: Bacteria; Bacillati; Actinomycetota; Coriobacteriia; Coriobacteriales; Coriobacteriaceae
Description: tRNA-Gly
Source: RNAcentral
GCGAGGUCAGACGGUAUUUUUGAACGAGCUUGCGGUCAGGGAUGGCAAGGGCCUUCCAAGCUGAUGAGGCGGGUUCGAUUCCCGUCGCCCGCUCCA